Molecule: long non-coding RNA, 852 nt
Filed under: Homo sapiens (human)
Lineage: Eukaryota; Metazoa; Chordata; Mammalia; Primates; Hominidae
Description: LHRI_LNC870.1
Source: RNAcentral
CUUAGAGAAAUGCUCUGGGCUUAUACUGAGGCUCAUCUACCCUAAAGGCCAUCUCUCAGGAAAACAGAGCUGUUGUAUCAUAAAGCUUUUCAGGGGGAAAAAAAUAAAAAAUGUUCAUCACAAAUCUAUUGUGCUUGUUAUAAUCUAACAAAGUCCACUAAAUGUAGUAACGAAAUGUCUCCCCAAUAAAAAAUUAAGAUUCCCUUUGGAGCUUAGGCAUGUGGCCUUAUAAAGAGCUUAACUGGACUGCUACCUGUUGGUAUGUUCAGGGCUUCAUUAGGUUCAUGCUUAAGUAUAAUGCCUGUGCCUCACAGAACAAUUUAAAUUUAGCUUAACACCCCACCCAUACUUAAAGAGCAAAUAAAUUAUAUUUCGAAAAGAUUUUAAAAUAAUCUCAAUAUAAAAACCAACAGUGGGAACUGAGUCUGGAAUAAAUGUGUGCAGAAUCCUAAUUCUUUUCUGAGCUCCACUCAGUGAGGAUAUGCACCCUCUACUGUCCAGCCUGUGGUUUGCAGUAAGCUCACUCUUCUGUUCAGAAUGACCACAGGAGGGCCUUUACCUAGGAAUAGCAGGAAAAGCUAAGUAAGUACUCAAACUUCCCUCCCAGUAAGCAUGAAUUGCUUCAGAUGUAAAGCUUACAUGUGAUGAGUAAUACUAUAAUAUCAUACAUUAAUAUAUCCUAAUAAACUUUAAUUUUCAAACAUUUCUGCGUUGCUCUAAUUUUUUGUAAGAACAUACUGUUUUAAUAAUAAAGCAAUUUCAGAAUGAUUAAACUCAAGAAACUUUAUAAGUGGAAAAUUCAUUCACAGGAGAUAACGUACAUAAAGACAAGUCACUUGAGCAUCCCCAUCA